Molecule: ribosomal RNA, 269 nt
Filed under: uncultured prokaryote
Description: partial 16S ribosomal RNA
Rfam family: Bacterial small subunit ribosomal RNA
Source: RNAcentral
AACGUAGGACGCAAGCGUUAUCCGGAAUUACUGGGCGUAAAGAGCGUGUAGGCGGAUUGCCAAGUCGGGUAUGAAAGCUCCUGGCUAAACUAGGAGAGGUUGCUCGAAACUGGCAGUCUAGAGUGCGAUAGAGGAGUGUGGAAUUCCACGUGUAGUGGUGAAAUGCGUAGAUAUGUGGAGGAACACCAGUGGCGAAGGCGGCACUCUGGGUCGCAACUGACGCUGAGACGCGAAAGCAUGGGUAGCGAACGGGAUUAGAUACCCGCGUA